ACUGCCAACGAUAUCCCAAGUGAUAUCUUUGAGGUCCAAGGUUAUCCAACCCUGUACUUCAGGUCAUCAAGUGGAACUCUAUCACAAUACGACGGUGGUAGGACCAAGGAAGACAUCAUAGAAUUCAUUGAAAAGAACCGGGACAAACCUGCCCAGCAAGAACAAGAUAAACCUGCUCAUCAAGAACAAGUAAAAGAUGAGCAAGAAACAGGAAAAGAUGAGCUUUG
This 227-nucleotide long non-coding RNA is filed under the name Phaseolus vulgaris (common bean). Its description in RNAcentral is "long non-coding RNA (PVUL_LNC001173)". The record is from RNAcentral. Lineage: Eukaryota; Viridiplantae; Streptophyta; Magnoliopsida; Fabales; Fabaceae.